GAUGAACGCUGGCGGCGUGCCUAAUACAUGCAAGUCGAGCGAACGGACGAGAAGCUUGCUUCUCUGAUGUUAGCGGCGGACGGGUGAGUAACACGUGGAUAACCUACCUAUAAGACUGGGAUAACUUCGGGAAACCGGUGCUAAUACCGGAUAAUAUUUUGAACCGCAUGGUUCAAAAGUAAAAGACGGUCUUGCUGUCACUUAUAGAUUGAUCCGCGCUGCAUUAGCUAGUUGGUAAGGUAACGGCUUACCAAGGCAACGAUGCAUAGCCGACCUGAGAGGGUGAUCGGCCACACUGGAACUGAGACACGGUCCAGACUCCUACGGGAGGCAGCAGUAGGGAAUCUUCCGCAAUGGGCGAAAGCCUGACGGAGCAACGCCGCGUGAGUGAUGAAGGUCUUCGGAUCGUAAAACUCUGUUAUUAGGGAAGAACAUAUGUGUAAGUAACUGUGCACAUCUUGACGGUACCUAAUCAGAAAGCCACGGCUAACUACGUG
RNAcentral lists this ribosomal RNA (497 nucleotides) under uncultured bacterium. Its description in RNAcentral is "partial 16S ribosomal RNA". It matches the Rfam family "Bacterial small subunit ribosomal RNA", at positions 28 to 507 of the family's 1533-position model. The record is from RNAcentral.